This 292-nucleotide ribosomal RNA is filed under the name uncultured bacterium. RNAcentral describes it as "partial 16S ribosomal RNA". It matches the Rfam family "Archaeal small subunit ribosomal RNA", at positions 455 to 747 of the family's 1478-position model. The record is from RNAcentral.
GUGCCAGCCGCCGCGGUAAUACCGGCAGCCCAAGUGAUGGCCGCUGUUAUUGGGCCUAAAGCGUCCGUAGCUGGCCGCGCAAGUCCGUCGGGAAAUCCACCUGCCCAACAGGUGGGCGUCCGGCGGAAACUGUGUGGCUUGGAACCGGAAGGCUCAGAGGGUACGUCCGGGGUAGGAGUGAAAUCCCGUAAUCCCGGACGGACCACCGAUGGCGAAAGCACUCUGAGAAGACGGCUUCGACAGUGAGGGACGAAAGCUAGGGUCUCAAACCGGAUUAGAAACCCCGGUGUCC